GGCGGUGUAGCUCAGUAGUAGAGCAGUCGGCUCAUACCCGAUAUGUCAGGGGUUCAAAUCCCUUCACCGCCA
RNAcentral lists this transfer RNA (72 nucleotides) under Candidatus Omnitrophota bacterium. Its description in RNAcentral is "tRNA-Met". It matches the Rfam family "tRNA". Rfam says of the family: Transfer RNA (tRNA) molecules are approximately 80 nucleotides in length. Their secondary structure includes four short double-helical elements and three loops (D, anti-codon, and T loops). The record is from RNAcentral. Lineage: Bacteria; Pseudomonadati; Candidatus Omnitrophota.